Molecule: non-coding RNA, 48 nt
Filed under: Schistosoma mansoni
Lineage: Eukaryota; Metazoa; Platyhelminthes; Trematoda; Strigeidida; Schistosomatidae
Source: RNAcentral
AUUUAGCCGACGAGUCCCAAAUAGGACGAAACGCGCAUCAAACUGGAU